Molecule: RNase P RNA, 415 nt
Filed under: Nocardia amamiensis
Lineage: Bacteria; Bacillati; Actinomycetota; Actinomycetes; Mycobacteriales; Nocardiaceae
Description: RNase P RNA component class A
Rfam family: Bacterial RNase P class A
About the family: Ribonuclease P (RNase P) is a ubiquitous endoribonuclease, found in archaea, bacteria and eukarya as well as chloroplasts and mitochondria. Its best characterised activity is the generation of mature 5'-ends of tRNAs by cleaving the 5'-leader elements of precursor-tRNAs. Cellular RNase Ps are ribonucleoproteins.
Source: RNAcentral
CGAGUUGGUCGGGCGGCCGCGGCGCAGGGAACGGGCACGAUCGUGCCGCCGCCCGGCGCCGAGGAAAGUCCGGACUCCACAGAGCAGGGCGGUUGCUAACGGCAACCCGGGGUGACCCGCGGGAAAGUGCCACAGAAAACAGACCGCCCACGGCCGUCGAGGCCGUGCGGUGAGGGUGAAACGGUGCGGUAAGAGCGCACCAGCGCCCCGGGUGACCGGGGCGGCUCGGUAAACCCCGCCCGGAGCAAGGUCGAAGGCCGCACCGUCCGCGGUGCGGCUGCGCAGGCGUUCGAGGGCUGCUCGCCCGAGCCUGCGGGUGGGCCGCUCGAGGCACCCGGCAACGGAGUGUCCAGAUGGAUGGCCGCCCCCCGGUGCGAACCGGGGACAGGAUCCGGCUUACAGACCAACUCGUCCG